UUUCUGUGUCCCCAAUGAGGAAGUAAAAGUCGUAACAAGGUUUCCGUAGGUGAACCUGCGGAAGGAUCAUUACCGAGUGUAGGGUUCCUAGCGAGCCCAACCUCCCACCCGUGUUUACUGUACCUUAGUUGCUUCGGCGGGCCCGCCAUUCAUGGCGCCGGGGGCUCUCAGCCCCGGGCCCGCGCCCGCCGGAGACACCACGAACUCUGUCUGAUCUAGUGAAGUCUGAGUUGAUUGUAUCGCAAUCAGUUAAAACUUUCAACAAUGGAUCUCUUGGUUCCGGCAUCGAUGAAGAACGCAGCGAAAUGCGAUAACUAGUGUGAAUUGCAGAAUUCCGUGAAUCAUCGAGUCUUUGAACGCACAUUGCGCCCCCUGGUAUUCCGGGGGGCAUGCCUGUCCGAGCGUCAUUGCUGCCCAUCAAGCACGGCUUGUGUGUUGGGUCGUCGUCCCCUCUCCGGGGGGGACGGGCCCCAAAGGCAGCGGCGGCACCGCGUCCGAUCCUCGAGCGUAUGGGGCUUUGUCACCCGCUCUGUAGGCCCGGCCGGCGCUUGCCGAACGCAAAUCAAUCUUUUCCAGGUGACCUCGGAUCAGUAGGU
This 596-nucleotide ribosomal RNA is filed under the name Aspergillus flavus. RNAcentral's name for it is "partial 18S ribosomal RNA". The stretch from base 254 to 407 matches the Rfam family "5.8S ribosomal RNA". The record is from RNAcentral. Lineage: Eukaryota; Fungi; Ascomycota; Eurotiomycetes; Eurotiales; Aspergillaceae.